GAUGAACGCUGGCGGCGUGCCUAAUACAUGCAAGUCGAGCGAACGGACGAGAAGCUUGCGUCUCUGAUGUUAGCGGCGGACGGGUGAGUAACACGUGGAUAACCUACCUAUAAGACUGGGAUAAUUUCGGGAAACCGGAGCUAAUACCGGAUAAUAUUUUGAACCGCAUGGUUCAAAAGUGAAAGACGGUCUUGCUGUCACUUAUAGAUGGAGCCGCGGUGCAUUAGCUAGUUGGUAAGGUAACGGCUUACCAAGGCAACGAUGCAUAGCCGACCUGAGAGGGUGAGCGGCCACACUGGAAGUGAGACACGGUCCAGCCUCCUACGUGAGGCAGCAGGAGGGGAGCUGCCGCGAUGGGCGAGAGCCUGACGGAGCAACGCCGCGUGAGUGAUGGAGGUCUUCGGUUCGUAAGUCUCUGUUAUUAGGGAAGAACAUAUGUGUAAGUAGCUGUGCACAUCUUGACGGUACCUAAUCAGAAAGCCCCGGCUAACUCCGU
RNAcentral lists this ribosomal RNA (496 nucleotides) under uncultured bacterium. Its description in RNAcentral is "partial 16S ribosomal RNA". It matches the Rfam family "Bacterial small subunit ribosomal RNA", at positions 28 to 506 of the family's 1533-position model. The record is from RNAcentral.